AGCUCCAGUAGCGUAUAUUAAAGUUGUUGCAUUUAAAAAGCUCGUAGUUGGUGUUUCACUAACCACGCCUGGGAGCUUUGCUACACGGGAGGUGGAGAGUUGAUAAUUGGUCUUACGGCCAUUGACACUGUGAAUAAAUUAGAGUGAUCCAAACAGGUUCGGCCUGAAUGCUUCAGCAUGGUAUGGGUUCUCGGCUACGUCGGCUUGUUGCAUUAUUGCUGCGAGUGUGUGCGGAGUAAAGGUUAAUAGAGAUGGAUGAUGGAAUUCGUAUUGAGUUGUUAGAGGUGAAAUUCUUGGACCAACUCAAGACGGUCUGAAGCGAAAGCUCUUUCCACAGACGCUCUUA
RNAcentral lists this ribosomal RNA (346 nucleotides) under uncultured eukaryote. RNAcentral describes it as "SSU rRNA". It matches the Rfam family "Eukaryotic small subunit ribosomal RNA", at positions 587 to 972 of the family's 1831-position model. The record is from RNAcentral.